GGAGGAAUGGCAGAGCGGUUUAAUGCGGCGGUCUUGAAAACCGUUGACGUCGAAAGGCGUCCGGGGGUUCGAAUCCCUCUUCCUCCGCCA
RNAcentral lists this transfer RNA (90 nucleotides) under Bryobacteraceae bacterium. RNAcentral's name for it is "tRNA-Ser". It matches the Rfam family "tRNA". From Rfam's summary of the family: Transfer RNA (tRNA) molecules are approximately 80 nucleotides in length. The record is from RNAcentral. Lineage: Bacteria; Pseudomonadati; Acidobacteriota; Terriglobia; Bryobacterales; Bryobacteraceae.